UUACGACAAUAUCACGUUGAAAUACCGGUUCUCGUACGAUCACGGAAGUUAAGCAAAGUCGAGCCUGGUCAGUGCAUAGAUGGGUGGCCGCUUGGAAAUAUCACGUGUUGUAC
Molecule: non-coding RNA, 113 nt
Organism: Acanthosepion pharaonis
Lineage: Eukaryota; Metazoa; Mollusca; Cephalopoda; Sepiida; Sepiidae
Source: the annotation of a GenBank genome assembly